AAUGAAAACACAGCAUUUUCCAUUAUGGCGACCCGCAGCCCCAGUGUUGUGAUUAGUGAUGAUGAACCAGGUUAUGACUUAGAUUUGUUUUGUACACCUCAUCAUUAUGCUGAGGAUUUGGAAGAGGUUUUUGUUCCUCAUGGACUAAUUAUGGACAGGACCAAACAGCUUGCUCGAGAUGUGAUGGAAGAGGUGGGGGCCAUCAUAUUGUGGUCCUCUGUGUGCUCAAGGGGGGCUAUACAUUCUUUGCUGACCUGCUGGAUUACAUCAAAGCCCUGAGCAGAAAUAGCGAUAGAUCCAUUCCUAUGACUGUAGGUUUUAUCAGACUGAAGAGCUACUGUCAACAGGCGACUUAAAAGUAAUUGGUGGAGAGGACCUCUCAACUUUAACUGGAAAGGCUGUCUUGAUUGUUGAAGAUGUAAUUGACACUGGCCAAACAAUGCAAACCUUGCUUUCCUUGGUCAAGCAGCAUAAUCCAAAGAUGGUCAAGGUGGCGACCUUGCUGGUGAGAAGGACCCCUCGAAGUGCUGGAUAUAGACCAGACUUUGUUGGAUUUGAAAUUCCAGAUGAGUUGGUUGUAGGAUAUGCCUUUGACUCUAAUGAAUACUUCAGGGACUUUGUGUCAUUAGUGAAAAUGGAAAAGCAAAAUACAAAGUCUAAGAGGAGAGUUCAAGUUGAGUUUGGAGACAUCUGG
RNA transcript from Phacochoerus africanus (Common warthog), 694 nucleotides. It is a transcript of the gene named hypoxanthine-guanine phosphoribosyltransferase-like, with no coding region annotated. Lineage: Eukaryota; Metazoa; Chordata; Mammalia; Artiodactyla; Suidae. The transcript has a single exon. The record is from RefSeq and is a predicted model, not a curated record.